This 3036-nucleotide long non-coding RNA is filed under the name Zostera marina. RNAcentral's name for it is "long non-coding RNA (ZMAR_LNC001147)". Lineage: Eukaryota; Viridiplantae; Streptophyta; Magnoliopsida; Alismatales; Zosteraceae. The record is from RNAcentral.
CCCACUCAUUAAAGGCAGGUCGUUUGGAGCGAAAGGAAUCCUAGCGAAGCAGAGCUCUGCGCACUUGAGUUCCGGUCCGGUUUCCCGCGGAGUUCCCCGCUUGGUGCUUGCUUGCGCGUCUUGGAGUACUGGUCGGGUUUCACCCCCAUCAGGCGUGAUGACCAGGGAGUCAUAGUGUGGUGUUGUUAUGUCCACUAGAUCAACGUCCGUGAAAAAAAAUUCUUCCGACGGCUUUCUUUUUUUCCCCAGGGCCGCCUUUACCGUGUCGGUUGUGUACCGACGGGCUUCUUCCGGGUCCUGCGCCAGGAGGUUUCUCCCCCGGAUAUGGCAAAAAUGUCCUCUGCCUCGAGUUCUAUCUUUGGGGUUCUGUGGCCGGUAGAUAUGACCGUUGAUCUUGAUGCGGGUGCUUGGCGCGGUACCGCUUUGGGGGGUUUUAUUUGCUCAAUGGCUUUUACCAGGCUCCUGCGCUCCGCCGUGGUGUGCCCCGAGUCUUGGUGGUACUCGCAGUACUUUCCGUUCUCCUGGUACGCUGCCUUCGGAAGUGCGCUUUCGUCUUUCAGCGUCAAAAAUACCUCCCUCUGGUUUGGGCCAGACUCCGCCUGCUUAUGGAGUCAUGCGUAUGGCGCCUUCCCCUUGUUAUGGGGCCUAGGGGUUCGUAAGGGGUUGAUCCCCUCUCCUUCUACUGCCAGGUGUUUUGUCCUCCGGCUUUCCCCUUCUGUCGUUGUAGUGCCUGCUUGAAUUUCGGGGUCAAGUACUCUUCUAUGUCCAUGGCUCCCUGGGCCCAGCACAUGGCUUCGUAGAACGUCUUGACCUUGUGGUCGUUGAGCUCGACCGUGAAGCGUGUUCCUCUCAGCCCAUUUAGCAGGGCCAUCAUGAUGGUCGGCUCCUCCGCCUCCUCUAGAUCCUGAACCGCCGUCGCAAACCGGUUCAUGUAAUCUCUGAGGGUUUCACCGUCCCCCUAUGACACCCCCAACAAGGUUGUUAUUCCUUUCUUCCUUCGGGUACGGAAAGCAAAGGCCUAGUGAUACCUCGAGGGGCUGGGAAAACUUCUAUUAACUCAUAUUCAUCUCAAGUAAGAUGACAGACUAAUGACGACUGCAAUGACUUCAAGUCGUUCUACAUAGCUCGCCAACCUUUGUCCGACUCUUCGCAUAUUGCCAUCGUGCAUUGUCAUUUCUUUUAAAUAGCACGACUCCAUAUUCUAGCUAGUAUUAUUGAAGUUAACCUUCAUCAAUGGUUAUUGCAUGGUCUGAUUAGAACAAGGUUGACUAGUUAAUUAUACAAUUAGGAUCGAUCAGAAUUUGUAGUUAGACUAUCAUGACUAUUUUUGGAGAAUCAAGUUUGACCUCAUACUGAUAGGUUAUUAAUUUAUUGAUUGACAAUUGUAUCUUAGAGAACUUUUGAAGAUUAAUAAUUUUGAAAAUAUGAAAAGUCUAUAUAUGAGUAUAUGACUCCAAUGAAAGAAAAUGUUAAUUUAUAUUCAGUUGAGGAAAUAAUGUUGACCCUUAUUUAAAGAGAAGCCACACAUAAGUGUGGUGAAGGCUUCUAAUCUUGGGUCAUUAUUUUGAAAUACCAAGAUCAAUGGAAGAUCCAUGCAUGAUCUUUAAGAUUCAUCUUUGAUUUCAAAAUAAAUAUCCAUUUAAAGACCUAACCAAUAAUUAUUAAUUGAUCACAGUAAAUAUUAAGGUUUCUGAGGGUCUAGGGUUCGAGUCUCUGUAUUUUUUUUUAAUAUCUACUACAAAUAGCUGAUGAUAUAUUAUGUGGUUCUGAUAUAUCAUCCGAAGGUGAACAUUUUUACUUAUAGAAAUGAACCCUUCGUUAUAAAUAAAAAAAGAUAGAACUAGUAAUUAAAAUCAAACAAAACUAAAUUAAUUAAAGUGAUAAGCAAGAACUCACUUAAUUAUAGUUGGGAACUUGAACUUUUUGUAAUUAAUUCACUUGAUUGUCACUUAGAUAGAUAGAUCUCUUAAUUAUUUUAAUCCCCAAUAAUGACCUGCAAAUUAAAACAAAUGAAAGAGUUGAAGAUAUAGAACUAGAAAUAGAAACAAGAUGAUAUCAAUUUAAUUAAAUCUAUGAAAUCCAAAUGAUAUUUCUUUUAAUGAAAUCCAAAACCCUAAUUGGUGAUACAGUAUCCCGAACACGGUCACAACCUACCAGCAACUAGAAGUCCGGAUAGCCUAAGAUGAGUUGAGGUAUCUAUUCUAGGGUUAUGGAGGUCCCAGGUCGAAUCCUAGGAAGAUCGACUUUCCUGAGGAUCAACUUCCCUGGGAUCGACUUUUGAGUAAAGUCGAUCACCAGGAAAAGUCGACCCCCAGAAAGUCGAUCUCUGGAAAGUCGACCCCUGGACCCAAUCUGAUCAGUUAGGCAGUUAGGCGGUUACUGCCCAAAUGACCAGAUUGACCCCAUAAGAACCCCUAUAAAUAGAGGGCACCCCCCACUCAUUAAAGGGAGGUCAUUUGGAGAAGAAGGAUUCCUAGCGAAGCAGAGCUCUGCACACUUGAGUUCCGGUCCGGUUUCCCGCGGAGUUCCCCGCUUGGCGCUUGCUUGCGCGUCUUGGAGUACUGGUCGGGUUUCACCCCCAUCAGUUGGCGCCGUCUGUGAUUCAAAGAUACUCACGACAAAAGCUCCUCGACUUCUUCGAAAAAAGGAUCGACUUUUUUCCAAGUCGCCAGCUAGGAAGUUUUGCGAGGAAAUCAGCCAGCAAGGGAUCGACAUUUCAGGAGAUCGACUUUUUCUUCCGAAGAAAAGUCGACCCCUCAAGGAGCUAGGCUUUCGAACAUCGGCUUCCAAGGAAUCCUCCAAGUGCACUAGGGAUCGACUUCUUGAAGAUCGACUUUCCAGGCAAAAGUCGAACACCCCUUCCAGGAAAAGUCGAACACUCUAGGAUGGUGGUAACUCGAAGCACUUCCCAAGGAGGAGGAGCGAAUUCUCAGGAGGCGCCAGGGCAACAACCUGGCAACUCAAAAACUAAAAGGCCAGUAGGUCGACCACCUAAGGCCAAUAAGAACGAGGAUUUUAAAAAAAAAAAAAUCUCAA